Drosophila santomea is the source of this 297-nucleotide long non-coding RNA. RefSeq lists it as uncharacterized. The record is from RefSeq and is a predicted model, not a curated record. Lineage: Eukaryota; Metazoa; Arthropoda; Insecta; Diptera; Drosophilidae. The transcript has 2 exons.
UGAAGAGCUUAUAACAAUAUGAAUUUUGGAGGCAUCUUAUUCGUUCUGGCAAUCUUGUCGCGAUCACCAAGAUCUCCAACUAAAGUUGAAAAAUGUAGUCCCUUGGAUUGUAGAAACGGGGAUUAGCUGUAUUAUGACUAUAUAUGAUAAAACACUACUGCAACAAAGUACUUUGUUAAUUUAAUUAAACCUUACACAUCUGGUAAAUACAUUGUUCUUUUUAAUGUAACACUGACGUAUUAGCAAGUGAUACAGCUGGGAAACUGAAAUUAAAGCUGAAAGUCGAAAUUAAAUAUA